GGGUUGUGAGGUUAAGCGACUAAGCGUACACGGUGGAUGCCCUGGCAGUCAGAGGCGAUGAAGGACGUGCUAAUCUGCGAUAAGCGUCGGUAAGGUGAUAUGAACCGUUAUAACCGGCGAUUUCCGAAUGGGGAAACCCAGUGUGUUUCGACACACUAUCAUUAACUGAAUCCAUAGGUUAAUGAGGCGAACCGGGGGAACUGAAACAUCUAAGUACCCCGAGGAAAAGAAAUCAACCGAGAUUCCCCCAGUAGCGGCGAGCGAACGGGGAGCAGCCCAGAGCCUGAAUCAGUGUGUGUGUUAGUGGAAGCGUCUGGAAAGGCGCGCGAUACAGGGUGACAGCCCCGUACACAAAAAUGCACAUGCUGUGAGCUCGAUGAGUAGGGCGGGACACGUGGUAUCCUGUCUGAAUAUGGGGGGACCAUCCUCCAAGGCUAAAUACUCCUGACUGACCGAUAGUGAACCAGUACCGUGAGGGAAAGGCGAAAAGAACCCCGGCGAGGGGAGUGAAAAAGAACCUGAAACCGUGUACGUACAAGCAGUGGGAGCACGCUUAGGCGUGUGACUGCGUACCUUUUGUAUAAUGGGUCAGCGACUUAUAUUCUGUAGCAAGGUU
Molecule: ribosomal RNA, 616 nt
Filed under: Escherichia coli
Lineage: Bacteria; Pseudomonadati; Pseudomonadota; Gammaproteobacteria; Enterobacterales; Enterobacteriaceae
Description: partial 23S ribosomal RNA
Rfam family: Bacterial large subunit ribosomal RNA
Source: RNAcentral